RNAcentral lists this ribosomal RNA (253 nucleotides) under uncultured bacterium. RNAcentral describes it as "partial 16S ribosomal RNA". It matches the Rfam family "Bacterial small subunit ribosomal RNA", at positions 524 to 776 of the family's 1533-position model. The record is from RNAcentral.
GACGUAGGGUGCGAGCGUUGUCCGGAUUUAUUGGGCGUAAAGAGCUCGUAGGCGGCUUGUUGCGUCGGCUGUGAAAACCCGCAGCUCAACCCCGGGCCUGCAUUCGAUACGGGCAGACUAGAGUUCGGUAGGGGAGUCUGGAAUUCCUGGUGUAGCGGUGAAAUGCGUAGAUAUCGGAAGGAACAUCAGUGGCGAAGGCGACUUCCUGGACCAAUACUGACGCUCAGGUGCGAAAGCGUGGGGAGCAAACAGG